This is an RNA transcript of Rosa chinensis, 1338 nucleotides long. It is a transcript of the gene named mitogen-activated protein kinase kinase kinase 1, with no coding region annotated. The transcript is spliced from 9 exons. Lineage: Eukaryota; Viridiplantae; Streptophyta; Magnoliopsida; Rosales; Rosaceae. The record is from RefSeq and is a predicted model, not a curated record.
CAGAUAACUCCGAUGACUCCCAUAUUCUUUGGUCUCCAUUACGACUGCGAAUGUGAGGAAGACUACGCUGCUGAAAAUGUACCAAGUAGAGACGAAAUUGAAUGCAUUCCCACCACCAAAAAGAAGAAAGACCAAAUUGGGUGCAGUGGAUAUUUCUCCAAAAACCUGGACAAAGGGUCGGCUUAUUGGUCGUGGCUCUUUCGGCUCGGUCUAUCAAGGAUCUUCUUCGUAAGUUUUCAAAAGAAAAAGAGAUCGACUUGCUUGAAGUUGAAGGAUUGGAGGCAUACAUAGAUCAGAGAUGGAUUUGUUUUCGCUGCCAAGGAAGUUUCAUUGCUUGAUCCAGGAAGUCCGGGGAGGAGCUGUCUUUCUCAACUUCAACAGGAGAUUGAGUUUCUUAGUUGGCUUGAACAUAGUUAAAUACUAUGGCUCAUUUGAGUAUGGAACAGAUCCAUUCGACAACUCUAUCAGAGAUCGUGUCUUUCAUAUUCUCGUGUCUCUAAAUACACAAAAGAGAUCCUUCUCGGUCUAAAGUAUCUCCAUGACCAUAAUGUGGUUCACAGGGAUAUCAAAUGUGCAAAUAUUUUAGUGGAUGCUUAUGGAUCUGCGAAGCUUGCAGAUUUUGGAUUGGCAAAGAUCAUCACUAAAAUGAAUGAAAUUCAAUCUUUGCAGGGGACUGCAUUCUGGAUGGCCCCUGAGGUUUUUAGUGCAAAAAUGAAGAACCAAGGUUAUGGGCCUCCCAGCAGAUAUAUGGAGCCUUGGUUGCACUGUGUUGGAGAUGUUAACAAGGCAGGUUCCCUACCCUGGUUUGGAACCGUUUCAGGCAUUUUUUAAGAUUGCAAUGGGGGAGCUCCCUCACGUUCCUCAUUUUCUUUGUAAGGAGGCGCGAGAUUUCAUCCAUCAGUGUCUACAAGUUAGUCCAAACAAUCGACACACUGCUGCUCAGCUCUUAUGUCAUCCAUUUGUCACGUCUGGGCCUAUCAAACUACCCCAUGUGUUCGAUGGUCUUUGUAUGAUGAAGGGAAAAGAACUGUAUGCAAGAGGAUACUUUGAUGGGACUAUUAGUCAUUUAGAUUAACUGAGCUGUUAAGAGGCAGGAUAUUCAUACAGAUUUGUCAAGAAUUCGAGCAAAUUGCCCAAAUAGUUUGUAAAGAAAUAGAUCCUAGUCUCUUAUACUCCUGUCAUAAACUCAAGUGAAUGCACAUAACUCUAUUCACAAUGUUUUGUGCAUAUUGAACUAUUAUUGAGGGAGAAUAGUUUCACAGUUGACUUCAAUCUUUCUGAAAGAGUCAAUACUUUAUCUAAAUGAAAGGCAACUAGUGCAUCAGAAGUUGAGAAUAA